Molecule: ribosomal RNA, 803 nt
Filed under: uncultured bacterium
Lineage: Bacteria
Description: bacterial SSU rRNA
Rfam family: Bacterial small subunit ribosomal RNA
Source: RNAcentral
CGAAAGUUGGACUAAUACCUUAUAACGCAUUUUAUUCGCAUGGAUAGAUUGUUAAAGUGUGCAACUUGUUGCACAUACCUUGGGAUGGGCCUGCGUUCCAUUAGUUAGUUGGUGAGGUAACGGCUCACCAAGACAGCGAUGGAUAGCUGGUUUGAGAGAGUGAUCAGCCACACUGGGACUGAGAUACGGCCCAGACUCCUACGGGAGGCAGCAGUGAGGAAUAUUGCGCAAUGGACGAAAGUCUGACGCAGCAACGCCGCGUGGGGGAUGAAGCUUUAUGGAGUGUAAACCCCUGUAAGCAGGGGCGAAUGGCAAGCAUUCGAAUAGGGUGUUUGUUUGACGGUACCUGCAGAGUAAGCUCCGGCUAACUCCGUGCCAGCAGCCGCGGUAAUACGGGGGGAGCAAGCGUUGUCCGGAAUUACUGGGCGUAAAGGGCGUGCAGGCGGCUUGGUCAGUCAGAUGUGAAAGGUUCCGGCUUAACCGGAGAUGUGCAUUUGAUACUGCCAGGCUUGAGUUCGAGAGAGGGUAGCGGAAUUCCCAGUGUAGCGGUGAAAUGCGUAGAUAUUGGGAAGAACACCCAGUAGCGAAGGCGGCUACCUGGCUCGCAACUGACGCUGAGGCGCGAAAGCGUGGGGAGCAAACAGGAUUAGAUACCCUGGUAGUCCACGCUGUAAACGAUGAACACUAGGUGUUGGUCCCGUGUUCGGGAUCGGUGCCGCAGUUAACGCAUUAAGUGUUCCGCCUGGGGAGUACGAUCGCAAGGUUGAACUCAAAGGAAUUGACGGGGGCCCGCACAAGCGGUG